RNAcentral lists this unclassified non-coding RNA (501 nucleotides) under uncultured Glomus. RNAcentral describes it as "SSU rRNA". It matches the Rfam family "Eukaryotic small subunit ribosomal RNA", at positions 569 to 1074 of the family's 1831-position model. Lineage: Eukaryota; Fungi; Glomeromycota; Glomeromycetes; Glomerales; Glomeraceae. The record is from RNAcentral.
AGCAGCCGCGGUAAUUCCAGCUCCAAUAGCGUAUAUUAAAGUUGUUGCAGUUAAAAGCUCGUAGUUGAAUUUCGGGGUCAGCAAGUUGGUCGUGCCACUGGUAUGCACUGGCUUUGCUGAUUCCUCCUUCUUGAAGAACUGUAAUGCUAUUAAUUUAGUGUUGCAGGGAAACAGGACUGUUACUUUGAAAAAUUAGAGUGUUUAAAGCAGGCUAACGCUUGAAUACAUUAGCAUGGAAUGAUGAAAUAGGACGUUUGAUCCUAUUUUGUUGGUUUCUAGGAUUGACGUAAUGAUUAAUAGGGAUAGUUGGGGGCAUUAGUAUUCAAUUGUCAGAGGUGAAAUUCUUGGAUUUAUUGAAGACUAACUACUGCGAAAGCAUUUGCCAAGGAUGUUUUCAUUAAUCAAGAACGAAAGUUAGGGGAUCGAAGACGAUCAGAUACCGUCGUAGUCUUAACCAUAAACUAUGCCGACUAGGGAUCGGAUGAUGUUAAUUUUUAAUGA